UCUGGUUGAUCCUGCCAGUAGUCAUAUGCUUGUCUCAAAGACUAAGCCAUGCAUGUCUAAGUGUAAAUGAUACAUAAUGAAACUGGGAAUGGCUCAUUAAAACAGUUAUAGUUUAUUUGGUAAUCGAAUUUACAUGGAUAACCGUGGUAAUUCUAGAGCUAAUACAUGCUGUUGUGCCCAACUUUUCGGAAGGGCCGUAUUUAUUAGAUAACAGGCCAAUAUUCCUCGUGUCUAUUGUGGUGAAUCAUAGUAACUGAUCGGAUCGCAUGGGCUUGUCCCGCGACAAACCAUUCAAGUUUCUGCCCCAUCAGCUUUCUGGUAGUGUAUUGGACUACCAUGGCUUUCACGGGUAACGGAGGAUUAGGGUUCGAUUCCGGAGAGGGAGCCUGAGAAACGGCUACCACUUCUAAGGAAGGCAGCAGGCGCGUAAAUUACCCAAUGCUAAUUCAGCGAGGUAGUGACAAGAAAUAACGGACUGGAGUUAUACUCCGGGACUGAAAUGAGUUUAAUUUACACCACUUUUCGAGGAUCAAUUGGAGGGCAAGUCUGGU
RNAcentral lists this ribosomal RNA (551 nucleotides) under uncultured eukaryote. RNAcentral describes it as "bacterial SSU rRNA". It matches the Rfam family "Eukaryotic small subunit ribosomal RNA", at positions 1 to 565 of the family's 1831-position model. The record is from RNAcentral.